This is a non-coding RNA of Cordylochernes scorpioides, 75 nucleotides long. NCBI's taxonomy places the organism in Eukaryota, Metazoa, Arthropoda, Arachnida, Pseudoscorpiones, Chernetidae. The record is from the annotation of a GenBank genome assembly.
UACCACAACUCGGAAUUGAACUAGGGACCUAUAGAUCUUCAGUCUUAACACUCUCACAACUGGGCUAUUUGUGGU